UACGUAGGGCGCAAGCGUUGUCCGGAAUUAUUGGGCGUAAAGAGCUCGUAGGCGGUUUGUCGCGUCUGUUGUGAAAACCUAAGGCUCAACCUUGGGCUUGCAGUGGGUACGGGCAGACUAGAGUGCGGUAGGGGUGACUGGAAUUCCUGGUGUAGCGGUGGAAUGCGCAGAUAUCAGGAGGAACACCGAUGGCGAAGGCAGCUCACUGGGACGGUAUUGACGCUGAGACGCGAAAGCGUGGGGAGCAAACAGG
RNAcentral lists this ribosomal RNA (253 nucleotides) under uncultured bacterium. RNAcentral's name for it is "partial 16S ribosomal RNA". It matches the Rfam family "Bacterial small subunit ribosomal RNA", at positions 524 to 776 of the family's 1533-position model. The record is from RNAcentral.